UGCGUAGGCGGCGCGGUAAGUCGGGUGUGAAAUCUCGGAGCUUAACUCCGAAACUGCAUUCGAUACUGCCGUGCUUGAGGACUGGAGAGGAGACUGGAAUUUACGGUGUAGCGGUGAAAUGCGUAGAUAUCGUAAGGAAGACCAGUGGCGAAGGCGGGUCUCUGGACAGUUCUUGACGCUGAGGCACGAAGGUCAGGGGAGCAAACG
RNAcentral lists this ribosomal RNA (207 nucleotides) under uncultured bacterium. Its description in RNAcentral is "partial 16S ribosomal RNA". It matches the Rfam family "Bacterial small subunit ribosomal RNA", at positions 568 to 774 of the family's 1533-position model. The record is from RNAcentral.